This is a long non-coding RNA of Acinonyx jubatus (cheetah), 3453 nucleotides long. RefSeq lists it as uncharacterized. The transcript has 3 exons. NCBI's taxonomy places the organism in Eukaryota, Metazoa, Chordata, Mammalia, Carnivora, Felidae. The record is from RefSeq and is a predicted model, not a curated record.
CUCCAGGCUGGGUGUCUGGCAUCCAGACCCCAAGUGUGGAUGGGCCACACACACCCCCCCCCCCCGCCAGACUUGCAAGUGAAAUGACUAAAUAUGAGAAGCCACGUGGGCUUAGGUGUAGCCCUGGAGAACCAGAGGUUAGGAAGCUUUCAAAGGGAGGAAGUAAAAGGAGGGUUAAAGUUAUCAGGGCUUGAGCUGCCUGCGUCUCUUACUGAAAGACAACUCUACUUUAAAAAUUCUAUUUCUUCAACAUUUUUAAGUUCUCUAGGCCCCUGCUUCUUCAUUUAUAAGGGAGGGGAAAAGUUGCAAUACUGGAAACAUUCCUAUAAAGAGGAGAUGGGUGCACAGCCUGGAGCAAAGCAAGCCCUCAAUUAAUAUAAGCCACCACUGACUGUUGCUGUUACGAUAAUGGUGAUGAUUCUUGGUUGCCCCAGAUAUUAGCAAAGCUGAGACAUACCUGGAUGUAUCUGCCAUCCGCAGAAAAAUCCAUCUGAAUGACAAAGCUUGGAAUAUCUUUGCAGUAGCCAAUGCGGUUCAGGCUUGUGCCCUGAGUGAGGUCAUAGAAGUCAACUGUGUGUUCAGAAGAACCAACGGCUAAGAAUCUGCUGUCUGGGCUGAUUCUAGAAAAAGCAAUCCAAGAGCAUGGUCUGUGAGAAGGGCUUGUCAGGUCUGCUCUGGAAUGGGCCUCCCAAGCUCAAAGGCAAUGAGAUCCCACUUCAUGACUCACACGUGGUUAGCAUUCUAGGGAGUUCAGCAAUUUCUCUAUAUCCAAUCCCAUGGAAGUACGGGAGUGGAUGCACGUAGCCUUAUGCAGAAUGGCGUCGUACACGCAGUUUUUAACCACACUCUUCGUGGAACUUAGCAAAGACAUGUCUGGGAAUUAAUGUGUGAGGGAGUCUCCUUCCACGGCUGGAUCGUUGAAAGGGACCCUCCCACAACUGAAUUCUUCAUUCCAGUCAUGACCCUUCCAGAAAGACUUUCAGGCUGUUCACCAACAAGAUGACAAACUCUCCAUUCUUCAUGCCAAUGGCCACCAUCUCCCCGUCAGGGCUGUAGGCUGCACAUCUGGCCGCGUGGCCCAGGUUCACCUUGUUAAGCAGUUUCUACAUAGAUACAAAGUAGCAUGACCUAAGCCCUAGGCCUUCUUGGCUGGUCUCCAAGGGAAAUCCUGCACCCAGGCCAGAGCAGUCAGGCCAUCUCUGCUGCCACUUUGGGCCUCCAAACGUCUUGCUUCUUAUAGUAACUGUCCCUGAGGAACCAAGACGGGCAGUAUGUUUUCAUCAGAACAGCUUGGGCAGAGCCAUGGAUGAGAGUGUCGGCACAGAGACUGCCAUCAUCUGGUCUCUGCCAAAACAUUCCACUGACGGCAAGCUCAUGACAGAGCCGGGUAGUCCGUUUCUGUUGUUGGACCGUUCAAUGUCUUCCCAAAUUCUUCCUCGCACUGAACAACGAGCCAUCUCUCGAGGACUUCCACAUUCUGGGCCUACCUCUGCCUUCAUCUCCCAGGUGUCUGCCUACCUACCAGAUGACUGGUAUUUAUCUAUCUAAAAACAAAGCUCUCGAUUUCUAAUUAUGGAGACUCUAAGUCAGGUCUGCCUUUUUCAAUGGGGAACAUCCAGAAGGCACAUUCUUAGACUGCUAACAAUUCAAAACUAUAGACACAGGGUAUGAACCAGAGGUUAAGAUUUGUUUUUUUAAGGACCUCAGAAUUUCUUGGGGAAUUAAAAAAAGAAAAGAAGAAAAGGAACACACAACUCAUGGCUAAGACUCUGAUUUGGCAGCUCUGGGUAAGUACAUGGACAGCCAUAUAUUAAAAACAACAACAACAAGAAACAACUCCACAGUUGUUUCUGAUAUUCAGCCCAGGUAGGACUUGACAAACUAUGACUUUGAGUCAGACAGUUUGAUGGCCCUUUACUGUCCCCCCUUACUGACCAUGUAACCGUGCGCAUGGCAAAUUAUUUACUAUCUCUGUGCCUACAGUAAUAAUCACAUCUAUAACAGUAGCAGCUGACAUCCACAGAAUGUGGCUCUGAGCCAGGCAUAAUGGAAGGCAUCGCGCAUUAUAACGCACGCGACCCUCACAACCACCCGCCUGGACACAGAAAGGGUACGUAACACACCCAAGGUCAUACAGCCAGUGCUGACUCAGAAGAGUCUGCGCCUGGCUCUGUGGGACCCUGCUAAGCCGACUCCCACCGCAGUGCAAGUAGCACCUUGGAAGCCUGUUUUAAGGAUUUAGCACCUGGGCACAGGGAAAGAGUAUGGCUGAACUCCUUCUCUCUCUUGGGCCCCUUCCGGGCCCAGCCCCCUAGGGACAGCUGGGGAAAGACCGCCCGCCCACUCACUUUGCCGCGGCACACAGAGCGCACACACUCCACCGGCUGCCCCGUCUCCAGCUGGAAGGCCCGGCAGCGCUUCAUCUCCUGGUCCCACAAUUUCACAGCACCUCCUUCUUUGGUCCUAAAAAGGAGUGAGAGGACCUUGGCAAGUUGGGCCUUGUCCUAAGACUUGCCCUUGAUGCUCCAUGUCCCCUGUCCCUAUCAUCAAGGCCACCGGGUCCCAGCAGGACAGACCCUCCAGGGUGGCUUCUUUUUUGGCCCUGCCGACAGGUAGUGACAACCAUUUCACUAGAAUACUUUCAAAUGCCACUAUGGCAGAAGGAAAGAGGACUGUGAUCUAAAAUACCAAACCGUGUCUUGAUUAGAUCAAACACGAAGAGAAACGUUUCUCUGCUGCUCUGCUUCCUUCUUACAUCUCUGUCCCCAGGGGAACUUCUCUCCCCGCCUCUCCAUCCUCCCGUCCCCGAGACCUACGGGAAGUAACGCUCGAUGAAGAGCAUAGUCACUCGAGUCUAUUCAAGAAUACCUCUCUGGAUUUUCCACUAUCAUUAAACCACCUCUCUCCUUCUCUGACUUGUACUCUGAAGGUUUUUGCCCAGGGCCCUCUUGGAGAGAUGGCAGACUCGUCUCCCUGAUGCAGGCAAGAUGGGGGAAAGAAAAUCUGCGUUUUCUCCCAGUGGGAGAUGCUUCUGUCAGUUUCUCCCAGCACAAUAAAUAAGAAAAGAUCAGUUGUUCCCAGAGGAGUUUCGCCUUACGGCCGCUCUUUGCCACCAGUCACUAUGAGUCCAUCCCGGAGGGUCGUGUACAUUGUGAAGACAGGGCCCGUGUGAGCCUUGGCCACCAGUCGGACGAGGAAGUGGUCCUUCCACACGUAGACGUCUCCGUUGAUGGCACCCGUGAAAGUGAGGUUGUUCUGUAAACAAAGGGACACCUUCCACACUAGGACACUCACAGCACCUCUCAAGAGGGUCCCCUCCCAACCACCUGCUCCUUGGUUAGGGAACUAGAACUAGAGAAAGAGAAACACACUCAAAUUGACCUUCUGUGCUAAGGAAAGGGAUAAAGGAAUAAAGGUUGCAAGUAAGCCAAUAAAGGUGAAAAUGUGGAAAUA